GACCGGCGCACGGGUGAGUAACACGUAUGCAACCUGCCCGCCACAGGGGGAUAAGCGGAAGAAAUUCCGUCUAAUACCGCGUGACGCGGCGCCGGGGCAUCCCGGUGCCGCCAAAGGGAUUACCGGUGGCGGAUGGGCAUGCGGCGCAUUAGCUAGUCGGCGGGGUAACGGCCCACCGAGGCGACGAUGCGUAGGGGUUCUGAGAGGAAGGUCCCCCACACUGGUACUGAGACACGGACCAGACUCCUACGGGAGGCAGCAGUGAGGAAUAUUGGUCAAUGGGCGCGAGCCUGAACCAGCCAAGUCGCGUGAGGGAUGACGGUCCUACGGAUUGUAAACCUCUUUUGCCGGGGAGCAAGCGUGCGUUCGUGAACGCACGUCGAGAGUACCCGGAGAAAAAGCAUCGGCUAACUCCGUGCCAGCAGCCGCGGUAAUACGGAGGAUGCGAGCGUUAUCCGGAUUUAUUGGGUUUAAAGGGUGCGUAGGCGGGAUGCCAAGUCAGCGGUAAAAAUGCGGUGCUCAACGCCGUCGAGCCGUUGAAACUGGCGUUCUUGAGUGGGCGAGAAGUAUGCGGAAUGCGUGGUGUAGCGGUGAAAUGCAUAGAUAUCACGCAGAACUCCGAUUGCGAAGGCAGCAUACCGGCGCCCUACUGACGCUGAGGCACGAAAGCGUGGGUAUCGAACAGGAUUAGAUACCCUGGUAGUCCACGCAGUAAACGAUGAAUGCUAACUGUCCGGCGCGAAUGAGCGCUGGGCGGUACAGCGAAAGCGUUAAGCAUUCCACCUGGGGAGUACGCCGGCAACGGUGAAACUCAAAGGAAUUGACGGGGGC
Molecule: ribosomal RNA, 831 nt
Filed under: uncultured bacterium
Lineage: Bacteria
Description: bacterial SSU rRNA
Rfam family: Bacterial small subunit ribosomal RNA
Source: RNAcentral